This 464-nucleotide ribosomal RNA is filed under the name uncultured bacterium. RNAcentral's name for it is "partial 16S ribosomal RNA". It matches the Rfam family "Bacterial small subunit ribosomal RNA", at positions 29 to 507 of the family's 1533-position model. The record is from RNAcentral.
ACGCACGCUGGCGGCGUGCUUAACACCUGCCAGUCGCACGGAAAGGCCCUGCUUGCAGGGUACUCGAGUGGCGAACGGGUGAGUAACACGUGGGUGAUCUGCCCUGCACUUCGGGAUAAGCCUGGGGAACUGGGUCUACUACCGGCUAGGAGCCAUUUUUAGUGUGAUGGUUGGAUAGUUUUUUCGGUGUAGGAUGAGCUCGGGGCCUCUCAGCUUGUUGGUGGGGUAAUGGCCUACCAAGGCGGCGACGGGUAGCCGGGCUGGGAGGGUGGACGGCCACAAUUGGGCUGAGAAACGGGCCAGACUCCUACGGGGAGCAAGAGUGGGGAAUAUUGGACAAUGGGCGGAAGCCUGAUGCAACGACGCCGCGGGGGGGAUGACGGCCUUCGGGUUGUAAACUCGUUUCGCUAGGGACGAAGCUUUGUGUGACGGUACCUGGAAAAGAAGCACCGGCUAACUACGUG